RNAcentral lists this ribosomal RNA (253 nucleotides) under uncultured bacterium. Its description in RNAcentral is "partial 16S ribosomal RNA". It matches the Rfam family "Bacterial small subunit ribosomal RNA", at positions 524 to 776 of the family's 1533-position model. The record is from RNAcentral.
UACGUAGGGUGCGAGCGUUGUCCGGAAUUAUUGGGCGUAAAGGGCUCGUAGGCGGUUUGUCGCGUCGGGAGUGAAAACACCGGGCUUAACUCGGUGCUUGCUUUCGAUACGGGCAGACUAGAGGUAUGCAGGGGAGAACGGAAUUCCUGGUGUAGCGGUGAAAUGCGCAGAUAUCAGGAGGAACACCGGUGGCGAAGGCGGUUCUCUGGGCAUUACCUGACGCUGAGACGCGAAAGCGUGGGGAGCAAACAGG